RNAcentral lists this unclassified non-coding RNA (381 nucleotides) under uncultured bacterium. Its description in RNAcentral is "contains 16S-23S intergenic spacer region". The record is from RNAcentral.
UCCGGUUUGGCACCGGCAGUCUUCCUAGAGUCCCCGCCAUUACGCGCUGGCAACUAAGAACAGGGGUUGCGCUCGAUGCGGGACUUAACCCAACAUCUCACGACACGAGCUGACGACAGCCAUGCAGCACCUUUCACUCUGCUUGGUUUUACCCAAGAGGCCCCGUCUCCGGGGUUGUCAGAGGCAUUCUAGCCCAGGUAAGGUUCUUCGCGUUGCGUCGAAUUAAACCACAUGCUCCACCGCUUGUGCGGGUCCCCGUCAAUUCCUUUGAGUUUAAGCCUUGCGGCCGUACUCCCCAGGCGGUCAACUUCACGCGUUAGCUUCGUUACCAAGGAAUUACUUCCCCGACAACCAGUUGACAUCGUUUAGGGCGUGGACUAC